RNAcentral lists this unclassified non-coding RNA (555 nucleotides) under Hevea brasiliensis (rubber tree). The record is from RNAcentral. Lineage: Eukaryota; Viridiplantae; Streptophyta; Magnoliopsida; Malpighiales; Euphorbiaceae.
AUUUACGCUGCUUUAGACGUUUCUGCACAUGGAAAGGUUCAACUAAUUAGUUUAAUCCUACAAACUUAAAAACUGCAAACUCAUGUUUGAGCAAGUGCACUUGCACCUGUUUGCAAGCAUGUCCUAAUGUGUGUGUCAGCAUCCAUCAGUUCAUAUUAAAUAAAAUGAGAUUUCCUUUCUAAGGUUGGCUACAGUUUUGAAGAUUAUAUGUCCAGUAUCACUUCCAAAACAACUUAAAUAACAAACUGAAAUGGAAGGUUCUUGAUCUAUAUAAGAAGUGAAGCUUUAGAAAAAUAAUUUUAAAAAAAAUUAUAUAAGAAUUAAGAAGUUUAUACUUUUCUAUAAAUGUUCAUAUUAUGCAGUGGUGCAGGUAUAACCACAAGGAGGGUGACUUGGGAGCAUUUGACUCCAAAGGAAACAAGAUAAACAAAAUAUUUCUGAUCAGAAACUGAAAACAUAUCUAAAUUUGUAAAUGUUCUGGAUUUGGUUCUCCUACAAACGUAUUCCCCUACAAAAUCCUGAAAUAUUCAACCAAAGCCUCUUUGUCAAUAACAA